CUCUGAUCCUUCCAUUUCACAAGGGAGUACCCAGGGCAGAGGCUUGGCAAUACAUCUCUUUCUAUGAAAAAGAAGAAUCUCCAAAUGAAUUCCUACUCGAAUUUGCAAAAUUAGAUUUCAAUCGAGUGCAAUUAUUGCAGAGAGAGGAGCUCAAGGUGAUGGCAAGGUGGUGGAAAGACUUAAAUCUUGCAGAGAAACUUCCCUAUGCAAGAGACAGACUUGUGGAAAUCUAUUUCUGGGCGUGUUCCAUUCAGUUUGAGCCUCAACUUGCUCUUUCAAGGAUGAUGAUGGCCAAGUAUUUGAAAAUGAUAUCACUAGCUGAUGACACAUACGAUGCAUAUGCUACAAUGAAGGAAGUCAAUGCCUUCACAGAUGCUAUCGAGAGGUGCAGUAUUGAUGCUACUGACGAGCUGCCAGAUUACAUGAAAGUUUUCUACAAGGAAUUACUGAAUGUUUUUGAGGAAACAGAGAAUAUUGCGAGUAAGGAAGGAAGAUCCUACUGUGCCUAUUACGUAAAAGAAGAAUUUAAAAACUUGUUGAGAUCCUAUCGCAUGGAGGCACAGUGGUUUAAUGGAAGGGUAUGUGCCAACAUUUGAUGUGUAUUUGCAAAAUGGUUCUGAGUCAAGCAGCUAUGGC
Molecule: unclassified non-coding RNA, 636 nt
Filed under: Hevea brasiliensis (rubber tree)
Lineage: Eukaryota; Viridiplantae; Streptophyta; Magnoliopsida; Malpighiales; Euphorbiaceae
Source: RNAcentral